Non-coding RNA from Podarcis lilfordi (Lilford's wall lizard), 2880 nucleotides. Lineage: Eukaryota; Metazoa; Chordata; Lepidosauria; Squamata; Lacertidae. The record is from the annotation of a GenBank genome assembly.
GGAAGGUGUGACUGCCCCACAGUAACCUGAUAUUCAUUCAGUUUCUACAUGAACCAAGGCUUUUAAUGUAGUAGCACCAGUUAUUUGGAACACUAUUCCUAUGGAAACGAGAAAGGUACCUACAGUCUUGUUAUUUCAUUGCUUGGUGAAAACAUAUUCAUCUCACCAAGGAUUUUUAGAGAAUUAAUGUGAUUCAGUGUUGGUCAUUUGUUCUGUGUUUGGUUUUGGUUUUUUUUAAAAUAUUUCAUAAUUUUGUGAUUUAAUAGUUUUAUGAUGCUCUAAUGUUUUUAUUAAAUUGAUGUUUUUAAUGAGUUGGAGGUUUAUAAAUAUCCCUGUGAAUAAAUAAACAUGGCCUCUGCUUCAGAACUAGAUGGAGUAUCUCUAGAUAUCACAAUCCCUUAUUUGAAUUCUGCGCUUUUUAAUACCUGCAGGAAACUGAUGGAUGAGGUCAGCCAGAGGUUUGUCUUACAUGUCACCAGUGUGCAGAUGAUGAACAGCUCUGCCUCUCAUUCCCCUUGCUUGAUCCCAGAUGGGCUGUGGAAGUGAUAGACUGGUGUCUGGAGUCAGUUUAAGAGUGAAUGGGGAAUUAACUAUAAGCCAAGAGAAAUUUAAUCCAGAGCUAUUCUUCAAGUGAUCUGAACACUAGUUUGGCGUUGUGCUCUCCUUGAAGGAACAAGGAAACUUGGGUGUGCCCCCUGUGAAAAUUGCUGAGCCAUUUCAGUGAAACAUCAUUGUUUCAAAGUGCUGGUUGUGCUUUAGUUGUAAAUGGUUUAUUUGUUCUUUCUGUUUAUUAGUUUGCUUUAAUUUAGUUUUAGUAUUGUAUUUCUAAAUUGUUGCGACUUGCCCAGGGACCUUAUGGCGAAGGGCAGGUAAUAAAACAAAACAACAAAAACAACAUUAUAUGGUUUUGUGAUUUAUGUUGUGUUCUCUUCCAGGUACUUCUAGAAGAGUGGGAAAUUGUAGUUCGAGGACCCGAUCCCCGCGUAAUGGAAUGAAAACACAUGGACACGUGAUAUAAGGUUAAUGGACAAGAAAAGGCCACAACUUUAUUGAUUACAGCAAGUGAAAUGGUAUUGGCUUAGGCAUUGGAUCACGUCAGUUGACUUCACCCACUUGGAGAGGGGUGAGUCUAAAAGGGGGGUUUAUUCACCAGUAGGUGGAGCCUGUUGAUGCUAAUCCAACUAUAAGCUCUCCCCUGAUGCCACCGAGGGUCGUGCCAUGGCCCCCCGCCACACAGGCAUCGGACAGAAUACACGACCGCCGGAUUCCUUUAACGGAAUACCCAAAAUUGAAGGCGUAGGCGAUGGCCACACCUAGCCCUUCCACACACCACAAACACAUUAUUCCAAUGCCUAACCUACCCACCAAUACCACGAAAGUUGUGACGAUUGCUACGAGGUAGGCGAAACAACCACAAAGCCUAAUGCCAAAUGGAAAAAUUCCUACCAGGCCCCCUGGACAACCAGGGCGACCAACCUAAGGUCCAUAGCAAGGCCAAGAGAAAAACUGAAACCCUGAGCUCUAAGGGAGUGGAGGGUGGGUGACUCGCGAUGGGACGGCGAAAAGUGAGGGCCGCGUGGUUGGCGCAGCAGCAAGUUAAGCUGCAGUCCACGCCCCUUCCAAGGCACCUGGUUGGGCGCUUGCCCGUGGGCGUGGUGCACCAGCCAGGGAGUGGGUGGCAGGGGGCUAACGCCCCCUGCUUGAGGCGGAGCUCGGCUCCCGCCCACAACCCCUCCCCUCAUUUUCAGGAGGAGAGGCUUUAUUAUUAUGGGUCAAUGUCCAAAGUUAAGUCAUAUUCUGAACAGACCCAAUGAAAUUAAUAGACCAAGUGAAGUCCACGGAUUCUAUAAGAACAGCUGUGUUGGAUCAUGCCAAAUGACAAUCUGGUCCAGCCUCCUGUUCUCACUGUGGCUAGUAGGUAGGCCCAAAGCAGAAUGUGAGUCCAACAUCACUCUCUCCACUGGUAUUCAGACAGGCCUCCAAUAGUGAAGAGACAACAUAGGCAUCAUGGCUCGGAGCCACUGGUAGCAUUAUCCUUCAUGGGAUUGCCUACUCCUCUUUUUUAAGCCACCCAAGAUGGUGGCCAUCACGAGAUCUUGUAAAAGCCACAGCGUAAUUAUGCACUGUGUGAAUAAUUACCUUCUGUUUAAAUGCAUCACUUCUACAUAUCUACUCUAAGUAUGACUUAGAUAUCAGACCUUUUUAAUCCCAAAGUUUGUGUCUCAUUUGCUCAUUUAUCUCUUUGUCCCCAGACCACCUGCUGUAGAGAUGGACUAAUUCUAAGCCCUAAGAGAGAGACGCCAGUGUUACUCAUUAUACUGCCUGGUGCCUCACAGUCCCUAAAAUUCACAUCAAGCCCCUUCCAUUUUUCAUAAUCCUAGGUGACUUCUUGUUUGCUGCAGAUUGUGAAAGAAGUUUGGGAAGAGGCUCUUAAAUAUAGGAAUCUGGACAGUCUGUUUGUUCCACAAGAUAACCCCCUUGCUAUAAAAAGAGCUUAGCUAGUCCCCUUUCCCAUUUUCUAAAUUCUUUAGAUCACUUUCUAAGAAUGAUUAAGACGUGUGCUAAAAAUGUGCAAAGCCCUAGCUAAUUAUGAUGUACUGAUUAAUUUUGCUAGACAGCUAUGGCAGUUCUAAUGAAUAUUAAUAUUUUUUUUUCUAGGACAGAAGCUGUUGGCAAGAGGAACAACUUUCCUGCAUGGGUAACAAGUGUGGCAGAACAGCACGAGGUUGAUCAACGGAUCCUUGAUUCCUCUUGCUGGAGCUUUCAAGUCCUGUUUGCAGCAGAGACCUGCAAACUGCAAAAUAUACACUGUGAAUAGCUACAAAUUAUGAACCAGUGUUUUCUUAUUAAUUAAAAUUACAUUUUCUGUUCUUUCCAUAA